CUGCAGCCCGAGUGGUGAUCGAUUUUAUUGAGCCUAAAGCGUCCGUAGCCGGACUAGUAAACCCUUGGGUAAAUUGGGCAGCUUAACUGUCCAAAUUCCGAGGGGACUGCUAGUCUUGGGACCGGGAGAGGUCAGAGGUACUCAAGGGGUAGGGGCUAAAUCCUGUAAUCCUUUGGGGACCACCAGUGGCGAAGGCGUCUGACUAGGACGGAUCCGACGGUAAGGGACGAAACCCUGGGGCGCGAACCGGAUUAGAUACCCGAGUAGUCC
RNAcentral lists this ribosomal RNA (270 nucleotides) under uncultured archaeon. Its description in RNAcentral is "partial 16S ribosomal RNA". It matches the Rfam family "Archaeal small subunit ribosomal RNA", at positions 477 to 747 of the family's 1478-position model. The record is from RNAcentral.